AGUGAACGCUGGCGGCAGGCCUAACACAUGCAAGUCGAACGGCAGCACAGUAAGAGCUUGCUCUUACGGGUGGCGAGUGGCGGACGGGUGAGGAAUACAUCGGAAUCUACUUUUUCGUGGGGGAUAACGUAGGGAAACUUACGCUAAUACCGCAUACGAUCUACGGGUGAAAGCAGUGGAUAUUUGGACCUUUUGCGACUGAAUGAGCCGAUGUCGGAUUAGCUAGUUGGCGGGGUAAAGGCCCACCAAGGCGACGAUCCGUAGCUGGUCUGAGAGGAUGAUCAGCCACACUGGAACUGAGACACGGUCCAGACUCCUACGGGAGGCAGCAGUGGGGAAUAUUGGGCAAUGGGCGCAAGCCUGAUCCAGCCAUACCGCGUGGGUGAAGAAGGCCUUCGGGUUGUAAAGCCCUUUUGUUGGGAAAGAAAAGCAGCAGGUUAAUACCCCGCUGUUCUGACGGUACCCAAAGAAUAAGCACCGGCUAACUUCGUG
RNAcentral lists this ribosomal RNA (492 nucleotides) under uncultured bacterium. RNAcentral's name for it is "partial 16S ribosomal RNA". It matches the Rfam family "Bacterial small subunit ribosomal RNA", at positions 29 to 507 of the family's 1533-position model. The record is from RNAcentral.